GAUGAACGCUGGCGGCGUGCCUAAUACAUGCAAGUCGAGCGAACGGACGAGAAGCUUGCUUCUCUGAUAUUAGCGGCGGACGGGUGAGUAACACGUGGAUAACCUACCUAUAAGACUUGGAUAACUUCGGGAAACCGGAGCUACUACCGGAUAAUAUUUUGAACCGCAUGGUUCAAAAGUGAAAGACGGUCUUGCUGUCACUUAUAGAUGGAUCCGCGCUGCAUUAGCUAGUUGGUAAGGUAACGGCUUACCAAGGCAACGAUGCAUAGCCGACCUGAGAGGGUGAUCGGCCACACUGGAACUGAGACACGGUCCAGACUCCUACGGGAGGCAGCAGUAGGGAAUCUUCCGCAAUGGGCGAAAGCCUGACGGAGCAACGCCGCGUGAGUGAUGAAGGUCUUCGGAUCGUAAAACUCUGUUAUUAGGGAAGAACAUAUGUGUAAGUAACUGUGCACAUCUUGACGGUACCUAAUCAGAAAGCCACGGCUAACUACGUG
This 497-nucleotide ribosomal RNA is filed under the name uncultured bacterium. RNAcentral's name for it is "partial 16S ribosomal RNA". It matches the Rfam family "Bacterial small subunit ribosomal RNA", at positions 28 to 507 of the family's 1533-position model. The record is from RNAcentral.